This 548-nucleotide small RNA is filed under the name Pongo abelii (Sumatran orangutan). RNAcentral's name for it is "processed transcript". The record is from RNAcentral. Lineage: Eukaryota; Metazoa; Chordata; Mammalia; Primates; Hominidae.
CUACCCCAAAAAUGAAAGUUUUAACAACCAGUCCCGUCGCUCCAGUUCACAGAAAAGCAAGACUUUUAACAAGAUGCCUCCUCAAAGGGGCGGCGGCAGCAGCAAACUCUUUAGCUCUUCUUUUAAUGGUGGAAGACGAGAUGAGGUAGCAGAGGCUCAACGGGCAGAGUUUAGCCCUGCCCAGUUCUCUGGUCCUAAGAAGAUCAACCUGAACCACUUGUUGAAUUUCACUUUUGAACCCCGUGGCCAGACGGGUCACUUUGAAGGCAGUGGACAUGGUAGCUGGGGAAAGAGGAACAAGUGGGGACAUAAGCCUUUUAACAAGGAGCUCUUUUUACAGGCCAACUGCCAAUUUGUGGUGUCUGAAGACCAAGACUACACAGCUCAUUUUGCUGAUCCUGAUACAUUAGUUAACUGGGACUUUGUGGAACAAGUGCCAUGAAGUGCCAUCUUGCCCCAUAUGCCUCUAUCCACCUACUGCAGCCAAGAUAACCCGUUGUGGACACAUCUUCUGCUGGGCAUGCAUCCUGCACUAUCUUUCACUGAGU